GUUGUAUAGUCAAGUAAUUAAGUGCAUGUGGUGGAUGCCUUGGCAGUCAGAGGCGAUGAAAGACGUGAUAGCCUGCGAAAAGCUCCGGGGAGGCGGCAAAUAUCCUUUGAUCCGGAGAUGUCUGAAUGGGGGAACCCACCUACUUUAAGGUAGGUAUUGCAACAUGAAUACAUAGUGUUGCAAGGCGAACGAGGGGAAGUGAAACAUCUCAGUACCCUUAGGAAAAGAAAUCAAUUGAGAUUCCCUCAGUAGCGGCGAGCGAACGGGGAUCAGCCCAUUAAGUUAUGUGUGUUUUAGUGGAACGCUCUGGGAAGUGCGAACGUAGAGGGUGAUAUUCCCGUACACGAAAGGGCACACAUAAUGAUGACGAGUAGGGCGAGGCACGUGAAACCUUGUCUGAAUAUGGGGGGACCAUCCUCCAAGGCUAAAUACUCCUGACUGACCGAUAGUGAACCAGUACCGUGAGGGAAAGGCGAAAAGAACCCCUGUGAGGGGAGUGAAAUAGAUCCUGAAACCGCAUGCAUACAAGCAGUGGGAGCACCUUCGUGGUGUGACUGCGUACCUUUUGUAUAAUGGGUCAGCGACUUAUAUUCAGUAGCGAGGUUAACCGUAUAGGGGAGCCGUAGAGAAAUCGAGUCUUAAUAGGGCGUUUAGUUGCUGGGUAUAGACCCGAAACCAGGCGAUCUAUCCAUGAGCAGGUUGAAGGUUGGGUAACACUAACUGGAGGACCGAACCCACUGUCGUUGAAAAGCCAGGGGAUGACUUGUGGAUAGGGGUGAAAGGCUAAUCAAGCCUGGUGAUAGCUGGUUCUCCCCGAAAGCUAUUUAGGUAGCGCCUCGGACGAAUACCAUAGGGGGUAGAGCACUGUUUCGGCUAGGGGGUCAUCCCGACUUACCAAACCGAUGCAAACUCCGAAUACCUAUGAGUACUAUCCGGGAGACAGACUGCGGGUGCUAACGUCCGUAGUCAAGAGGAAAACAAUCCAGACCGCCAGCUAAGGCCCCAAAAUCAUAGUUAAGUGGGAAACGAUGUGGGAAGGCAUAGACAGCUAGGAGGUUGGCUUAGAAGCAGCCACCCUUUAAAGAAAGCGUAAUAGCUCACUAGUCGAGUCGGCCUGCGCGGAAGAUGUAACGGGGCUAAAACUAUGUGCCGAAGCUGCGGAUNNNNNNNNNUUGACAUUAGUCAAGUGGUAGGGGAGCGUUCUGUAAGCCGAUGAAGGUGUAUUGAGAAGUAUGCUGGAGGUAUCAGAAGUGCGAAUGCUGACGUGAGUAACGACAAAACGGGUGAAAAACCCGUUCGCCGAAAGACCAAGGGUUCCAGUCCAACGUUAA
Molecule: ribosomal RNA, 1331 nt
Filed under: Acinetobacter baumannii
Lineage: Bacteria; Pseudomonadati; Pseudomonadota; Gammaproteobacteria; Moraxellales; Moraxellaceae
Description: bacterial LSU rRNA
Rfam family: Bacterial large subunit ribosomal RNA
Source: RNAcentral